This 528-nucleotide long non-coding RNA is filed under the name Setaria viridis. RNAcentral's name for it is "long non-coding RNA (SVIR_LNC008967)". The record is from RNAcentral. Lineage: Eukaryota; Viridiplantae; Streptophyta; Magnoliopsida; Poales; Poaceae.
CUGGAUCGCGCCGCAGUUCCUGGUGUUCGGGCUCUCCGAGAUGUUCACCGCCGUCGGGCUCAUCGAAUUCUUCUACAAGCAGUCGCUCGCCGGCAUGCAGGCCUUCCUGACCUCCAUGACCUACUGCUCCUACUCCUUCGGCUUCUACCUCAGCUCCGUGCUCGUGUCGCUCGUCAACAGGGUCACGAGCACCUCCGCCGCCGGCGAUGGCGGCUGGCUCGCCAACAACGACCUCAACAAGGACAGGCUGGACCUCUUCUACUGGCUCCUCGCCGGCCUCAGCAUCCUCAACUUCUUCAACUACCUCUUCUGGGCGAGGUGGUAUUCCAAGAGCGUAGAGACGGUGCAGGUCGCCGGAGUCGUCCGAGGCGGCGGUGAGCAGGAUGACGAGAAGGACACCUCGGAGUGCUAGAUUAUUAACAACAUGGGUCGUCCCUGAAAUGUGGGCCCACGAAAUAUGAAACCUAUCAUCAGCCGAUUAAUCAAAAUUAACCUAGUGCUAAGUGUAGUUAACCUUUUUUUAUUUUG